Molecule: ribosomal RNA, 301 nt
Filed under: uncultured bacterium
Lineage: Bacteria
Description: partial 16S ribosomal RNA
Rfam family: Bacterial small subunit ribosomal RNA
Source: RNAcentral
CAGCAGCCGCGGUAAUACGGAGGGGGCUAGCGUUGUUCGGAAUUACUGGGCGUAAAGCGCACGUAGGCGGCUUGGUAAGUUAGAGGUGAAAGCCUGGAGCUCAACUCCAGAAUUGCCUUUAAGACUGCCGAGCUAGCAGGUGAGAGAGGUAAGUGGAAUUCCGAGCGUAGAGGUGAAAUUCGUAGAUAUUCGGAAGAACACCAGUGGCGAAGGCGGCUUACUGGCUCAUACUGGACGCUGAGGUGCGAAAGCGUGGGGAGCAAACAGGAUUAGAGACCCGGGUAGUCCCUGUCUCUUAUAC